GAUGAACGCUAGCGGCAGGCCUAAUACAUGCAAGUCGAACGGGAUCCGCCAGCUUGCUGGCGGUGAGAGUGGCGCACGGGUGCGUAACGCGUGAGCAACCUGCCCGUCCCAGGGGGAUAGCCCGUUGAAAGACGGAUUAACACCGCAUACGACCGGAGGAUCACAUGGUUUUCCGGUGAAAUAUUUAUAGGGGACGGAUGGGCUCGCGUGACAUUAGCUGGUUGGCGGGGUAACGGCCCACCAAGGCGACGAUGUCUAGGGGCUCUGAGAGGAGAAACCCCCACACUGGUACUGAGACACGGACCAGACUCCUACGGGAGGCAGCAGUAAGGAAUAUUGGUCAAUGGAGGCAACUCUGAACCAGCCAUGCCGCGUGCAGGAAGACGGCCCUACGGGUUGUAAACUGCUUUUGUACGGGAAUAAACCCCACUACGAGUAGUGGGCUGCAUGUACCGUAAGAAUAAGGAUCGGCUAACUCCGUGCCAGCCGCCGCAGUAA
RNAcentral lists this ribosomal RNA (498 nucleotides) under uncultured bacterium. RNAcentral's name for it is "partial 16S ribosomal RNA". It matches the Rfam family "Bacterial small subunit ribosomal RNA", at positions 28 to 523 of the family's 1533-position model. The record is from RNAcentral.